UGGGGAAUAUUGCACAAUGGGCGCAAGCCUGAUGCAGCCAUGCCGCGUGUAUGAAGAAGGCCUUCGGGUUGUAAAGUACUUUCAGCGGGGAGGAAGGGAGUAAAGUUAAUACCUUUGCUCAUUGACGUUACCCGCAGAAGAAGCACCGGCUAACUCCGUGCCAGCAGCCGCGGUAAUACGGAGGGUGCAAGCGUUAAUCGGAAUUACUGGGGGUAAAGCGCACGCAGGCGGUUUGUUAAGUCAGAUGUGAAAUCCCCGGGCUCAACCUGGGAACUGCAUCUGAUACGGGCAAGCUUGAGUCUCGUAGAGGGGGGUAGAAUUCCAGGUGUAGCGGUGAAAUGCGUAGAGAUCUGGAGGGAUACCGGUGGGGAAGGCGGCCCCCUGGACGAAGACUGACGCUCAGGUGCGAAAGCGUGGGGAGCAAACAGG
This 429-nucleotide ribosomal RNA is filed under the name Chloroflexota bacterium. Its description in RNAcentral is "Chloroflexi bacterium partial 16S ribosomal RNA". It matches the Rfam family "Bacterial small subunit ribosomal RNA", at positions 355 to 776 of the family's 1533-position model. The record is from RNAcentral. Lineage: Bacteria; Bacillati; Chloroflexota.